Molecule: ribosomal RNA, 205 nt
Filed under: uncultured bacterium
Lineage: Bacteria
Description: partial 16S ribosomal RNA
Rfam family: Bacterial small subunit ribosomal RNA
Source: RNAcentral
UACGUAGGGCGCAAGCGUUGUCCGGAAUUAUUGGGCGUAAAGAGCUCGUAGGCGGUUUGUCGCGUCUGCUGUGAAAACCUAAGGCUCAACCUUGGGCUUGCAGUGGGUACGGGCAGACUAGAGUGCGGUAGGGGUGACUGGAAUUCCUGGUGUAGCGGUGGAAUGCGCAGAUAUCAGGAGGAACACCGAUGGCGAAGGCAGGUCA